UACAGAGGGGGCGAGCGUUAUUCGGAAUCAUUGGGCGUAAAGGGCGCGUAGGCGGCUGGGUAAGUCCAAGGUGAAAUCCCUCGGCUCAACCGAGGAACUGCCUUGGAUACUGCUCGGCUUGAGGCCGGGAGAGGGUAGUGGAAUUCCCAGUGUAGCGGUGAAAUGCGUAGAUACUGGGAGGAACACCGGUGGCGAAGGCGGCUACCUGGACCGGAUCUGACGCUGAUGCGCGAAAGCGUGGGGAGCAAACAGG
RNAcentral lists this ribosomal RNA (253 nucleotides) under uncultured bacterium. RNAcentral describes it as "partial 16S ribosomal RNA". It matches the Rfam family "Bacterial small subunit ribosomal RNA", at positions 524 to 776 of the family's 1533-position model. The record is from RNAcentral.